Molecule: long non-coding RNA, 2149 nt
Filed under: Pan troglodytes (chimpanzee)
Lineage: Eukaryota; Metazoa; Chordata; Mammalia; Primates; Hominidae
Description: long non-coding RNA NONPTRT013354
Source: RNAcentral
GCCGCCUCCCGUCACAGCAUUACCGGUGCACAGCCAGAGAACAACACAUCACACACAGGAAACAGUUGUGCUCAUGUGAUGGGGGCCUCAGCACUAGGAAGGAGUGGACUAUUGGCACACGCAGCAGCUUGAAUAAAUCUGAAAGUCACUACGCUGCAUAAGAGAAGCCAAAUUUUAAAAGUGCAUACUGUGUACAGAGGGUGUCGAGAAUGCCUCCUACGUGACGGAAAGCAGAUCUGUGGUUCCCUGCAGACUGGCAGGAGCAGAUUCCAAAGGCACAGGAAGAAGCUUGUGGGUAGAGUGUGUUCAUUAUCUUCUGUGCAUUACACCAUAAAAAAGCUGGUCAUAAAAAUGCGAACCAAAAACAAAGGUGAAACUAGGAUAAAAUUUCUCACCUGUGUGAUUGGUAAAUGUGCAGGUUUGACAUCAUGCUUUGUUUAUGAAGCUGUGGGAUACAAGGACUCUCAUACGUCACUGUGGAAUGCAGAACAUUGCAACCUCAUGGAAGAGGAUUUGGCAGCAUCUAACAAAAGUAUGUGGCAUUUGCCCUUUGGCUCAGCAAUUCUAGACUCUGCCUCAAAAAAAACUCUGGCAAAAAACUGAAAGGACUUUACUCACAGAAUUCUUUUCACGCCUAAAUGUGUUUGCAACCAAGUUCUUCACUGUGGCAUUUGUAAAACUGGAAACAAUCAAAAUGUCCAUCAGUAGGGGAUUAGGAACAUUAAUUCGUACAGUGGGGAACUCAGUACCAGAAGAAGGGAUGAGGAAGACCUAUCGAUAAGGGGCAGAGUACAUAUCAUAUGAUGCAAAUAUAUAUUUGCUUUUCCUUAAAACAGUACAAAGAUAAAAACUAAAGUGGUUGCUGUGGAGGACAGGGGUCAGUGGUGGAAGUGAGACUGAAAUAGACUCUGAAGUAAUAUCUGGACUUUGAAAUUGUAAGUGUUUUACAUAUUACCAAACUAAGUUUUAAGAUAGUCCCUAAAAUUGAAAGAAUAGUAUCUGAAAUGAAUGAAUCUAAAUUCCUUGGAUUGCGUUCUGCAGGUGCCAACCCUGAGACCAAAAUUUGGAAGGUGGCCCUGAGCAGCAGCUGAAGGGAAGCAGGAGGUGAGACAGGAAAGAGGUGAGGGCACGGGGUGUCUGGGAGCCGGGUCCCACGUGGGCAGCUGGGCCCGUGCUCAUUGUGGGAGCUGGUGCAUUCCUUCACCAGCCCACGCUCCACAGGGUCAGGAUGGUCAAUUCCGGGCACCCCCGGCCUAAUCCAGGACGUGCUCCUGCCACCAGAGAAAGCCCCUAGGCAGCGUCCCGGGUGCUGGUGGUGUCAGAAUCAAGUUUGAGUCUGAGGAGUGACCUGGGGCUGGCUGGGCUAGGCAGCAUCACAGGGUUCUGCAGCCCAACUGCACAUCAGGCUGGUGACAGUCACACAGCCUAUUACUUCGUGUGUCAUCAGAGCAUCGCCAGAACGCAGCACUUCAAGUAUGCAGAUUUAGUGAGCCAUAGUUUAAAGACAAAUAGAGCCACUGAAAUCCUAAAUUUCAAUCAAUCAUCUCCUUGUUACUUGUCUUAUUGGUAUUAAGCCUUUGAAAUUAUCUGGGGUGGGAGUAAACUAUAACUAAUUAUGUUAAUGCUAAAACUAAGAUUUUUCUGGCCAGGUGCGGUGGCUCACACCUGUAAUCCCAGCACUUUGGGAGGCCGAGGUGGGCAGAUCACCUGAGGCCAGGAGUUUAAGACCAGCCUUGCCAACAUGGUGAAACCCCAUCUCUACUAAAAUUCAAAAAUUAGCUGGGCAUGGUGGCAGGUGCCUGUAAUCCCAGCUAUUCAGGAGGCUGAGGCAGGAGAAUCGCUUGAACCAGGAGGCGGAGGUUGCAGUGAGCCUAGAUUGUGCCACUGCACUCUAGCCUGGGCAACAGGAACAAAACUCCAUCUCAAAAAAUAAAAAAAGAUUUUUCUGAGAAAAAGGUGUAAAACCAUAUACUAAAUUUGAAAUAGAAAUAUAAGCAUGAACUCUCUUGUUCCUUUCACAUAGACACAUUUCCUAGCUCUGCCCCAGGAGCAGUAGGCACAUGAAGCAUCUAGACUUGGUCUCUAAUACAUGAAAACCAUGAAUUCAUAGUGAUGGUUUCAAAGCCAAAACCAACCAAACACAUGUAAU